RNAcentral lists this small RNA (74 nucleotides) under Escherichia coli. RNAcentral's name for it is "Hfq binding sRNA". RNAcentral also lists the same sequence under 1 other name. The record is from RNAcentral. Lineage: Bacteria; Pseudomonadati; Pseudomonadota; Gammaproteobacteria; Enterobacterales; Enterobacteriaceae.
CCCCCCCAGCUAGGCUGGGGGUUCCGGAAAGCUUUCAGCUUUGAGCCAGUUAUUAGUAAGCGUACAGCCUGAAC